GCAGAAACUAUUUCACCCAUGAAGGAGUACAUGGACAACAUACCAACAGAGCUGGAGGAGUGUCAGGAAAAAGCAGAACUGAUCUCUGACUGUGCUUCAGCCGUUCAUGAGGAUGGUGGGAUUAAAGAUGAAGACACACCAGCAUCAGAAGCCAAUGGCCUGACAUCAUUUAAAGG
Molecule: long non-coding RNA, 176 nt
Organism: Sinocyclocheilus grahami
Lineage: Eukaryota; Metazoa; Chordata; Actinopteri; Cypriniformes; Cyprinidae
Exons: 3
Source: RefSeq, a predicted model, not a curated record